This 376-nucleotide long non-coding RNA is filed under the name Homo sapiens (human). RNAcentral's name for it is "lncAB69.1". Lineage: Eukaryota; Metazoa; Chordata; Mammalia; Primates; Hominidae. The record is from RNAcentral.
AGAAAAACCUUCUCCCUUCGCUCUGCUGGAAGCUGGAGGGCGCUAGGCCCCUGUGCAGUAGUGCAUAGAAUUCUAGCUUUUUUCCUCCUUUCUCUGUAUAUUGGGCUCAGAGAGUACACUGUGUCUCUAUGUGAAUAUGGACAGUUAGCAUUUACCAACAUGUAUCUGUCUACUUUCUCUUGUUUAAAAGAAGAAAAAAAAAACUAAAAAAAAAAUGAGGUUAUAGAAGGUCAGCAAAGGGUGGGUUUGAGAUGUUUGGGUGGGUUAAGUGGGCAUUUUGACAACAUGGCUUCUCCUUUGGCAUGUUUAAUUGUGAUAUUUGACAGACAUCCUUGCAGUUUAAGAUGACACUUUUAAAAUAAAUUCUGUCCUAAUG